GGGGGGCAAGCGUUGUUCGGAAUUACUGGGCGUAAAGGGCUUGUAGGUGGCCAACUAAGUCAGACGUGAAAUCCCUCGGCUUAACCGGGGAACUGCGUCUGAUACUGGAUGGCUUGAGUGUGGGAGAGGGAUGCGGAAUUCCAGGUGUAGCGGUGAAAUGCGUAGAUAUCUGGAGGAACACCGGUGGCGAAGGCGGCAUCCUGGACCAUUACUGACACUGAAAAGCGAAAGCCAGGGGAGCAAACAGG
RNAcentral lists this ribosomal RNA (248 nucleotides) under uncultured bacterium. Its description in RNAcentral is "partial 16S ribosomal RNA". It matches the Rfam family "Bacterial small subunit ribosomal RNA", at positions 529 to 776 of the family's 1533-position model. The record is from RNAcentral.